CAUUAGAUGGCUGAAAUUUUAAGUAUUGGUCUCUUAAAUCAAUUUAUAGUAUAAUAUACUUCUAAUG
This 67-nucleotide transfer RNA is filed under the name Prolachesilla sp. GRA2sp1LA. RNAcentral's name for it is "tRNA-Lys". The record is from RNAcentral. RNAcentral also lists the same sequence under 1 other name. Lineage: Eukaryota; Metazoa; Arthropoda; Insecta; Psocodea; Lachesillidae.